UGAUUUAGGUCUGAUCACGUUCUUCAUCUCCGCCGUACGAGAGAGCGUUGUUUCAUCUUCUUCCUAAAAAUCUGCAUUCAAUGUGUUUUCCCUUUUCACAAAGCGUUCGAUCUCAAGCUAUAAAAAGGUGAGGCGUCAUCCUUGACCAUCAUUCCUCACAAUUCUAAAUAGCCUCUGAAAAUUCUUCAUUAAAAUCUUUAUUUUACAAGACAAUUCAUGUCCGUUCGAUUUCUACUUCGGCCACCUUCUCUGAGAAACCAUACAAGUUUGAUGAGGAAUAGGAAAGGCAGAGGAAAUUGCAAGAACAAUUUAGCGUGAUGAAGCUUUGCGCAUCUACAGAUUUGCAGAAACAACAACGAGAAAAGAUAGUCAAGAUCGUAACUUUUGAGCUCACCUUACUUCGACUCUGCAAUUUCAUUGAUGUGGCUGGAGUGAACCUAGCUCGCUGUUCUGGGUUGUUACGUUGUUACAUAUAUAAAGAUGAUCUUUAAUCUAUUUCACUAAAAUCAAUGUGGGUUUGAGAGCUACAAGAUUCUUAGUGUUCUGCCAUGAUCAACUCUUCUAUCUAGCUUUUUCUGAUUCUAAUUGAAGUUUGACACUCUUUUGGCUUUAAAAUUUUGAUUUCUGUGUCAAAAAGUUUCUUAGUAAUAGAAAACGUCAACACUUUUCUUAUCAUGAAAAAACAGAAACUGUAUUAAUUAGAUUGUUAUUUCUUGCUUUUAUGAUAAUCUUAGUUGCUUUUGAGCUCAUGGUGGUUAUACAAUUACAGGUAUUUAAUCCUACAUAAAUGAAAUCUCAUGAAUUUGUAAGGCGUGUUUGAAGACCUUUGCAGGGAAAGGAGAUGAAUGGGCAGGAUAAUGCAGAUAAAGGAUGUUGAUCAUGUUGGCAGGUGGUGAUUGUACUCAAAGAAUGGCAUGAUGCGUUUGAUAUACCCAACUUGGCCCUGUAAUCUCUAAAAAUCCUUCUAUCCCGAUUCUAACAAGAAAACAUUAGGAUUUUCCCAGAGUCAAGCCAAGUUUUGAUGUGUCUACACUUGAUCGAUAUGUAGAAACUUCCAUUUCUCUGAUUAAAAUAGUUAUUAAUAUCUUCAUUUGUUGAAAAUACAGUAAGAUUAUGUCCUUUGUAGCUUCGUUCUUUUCUGCAAUAUAUGUAACACAGUGGAAAGAAUUAAAAGAUGCUCCUUUCAGCUCAAAA
Molecule: long non-coding RNA, 1194 nt
Organism: Brassica napus (rape)
Lineage: Eukaryota; Viridiplantae; Streptophyta; Magnoliopsida; Brassicales; Brassicaceae
Exons: 3
Source: RefSeq, a predicted model, not a curated record